This 257-nucleotide ribosomal RNA is filed under the name Klebsiella pneumoniae. RNAcentral describes it as "partial 16S ribosomal RNA". It matches the Rfam family "Bacterial small subunit ribosomal RNA", at positions 327 to 576 of the family's 1533-position model. The record is from RNAcentral. Lineage: Bacteria; Pseudomonadati; Pseudomonadota; Gammaproteobacteria; Enterobacterales; Enterobacteriaceae.
CGGUCCAGACUCCUACGGGAGGCAGCAGUGGGGAAUAUUGCACAAUGGGCGCAAGCCUGAUGCAGCCAUGCCGCGUGUGUGAAGAAGGCCUUCGGGUUGUAAAGCACUUUCAGCGGGGAGGAAGGCGGUGAGGUUAAUAACCUCAUCGAUUGACGUUACCCGCAGAAGAAGCAUCGGCUAACUCCGUGCCAGCAGCCGCGGUAAUACGGAGGGUGCAAGCGUUAAUCGGAAUUACUGGGCGUAAAGCGCACGCAGGC